AAUAUUUGCUUCCACGUUUGAGAGAGAAAAUAACUAAGUUGGUCUAACAAUCUAAGAGACAUGAUGGGAAUUCUUUCAGAAGAGGUGGCUUUAUCUAAUGAACGAGGACUGUUAUGUUUAUCAUCUUAGCUUUAGGAGGGAGUACAUUGAGUGGUUAAAUUGAAGCUUGUUUUAAAAAUUGAGGACCAACCAUGAAUACUGUUGCUUAAAUGGUUACCAGUGAGACUUUUAGUGCAGCAUCAGCAAGGGAGAACAAUCC
This 259-nucleotide long non-coding RNA is filed under the name Nicotiana benthamiana. Its description in RNAcentral is "long non-coding RNA (NBEN_LNC010841)". Lineage: Eukaryota; Viridiplantae; Streptophyta; Magnoliopsida; Solanales; Solanaceae. The record is from RNAcentral.